AGUGAACGCUGGCGGUAGGCCUAACACAUGCAAGUCGAACGGCAGCACAGUAAGAGCUUGCUCUUACGGGUGGCGAGUGGCGGACGGGUGAGGAAUACAUCGGAAUCUACUUUUUCGUGGGGGAUAACGUAGGGAAACUUACGCUAAUACCGCAUACGACCUACGGGUGAAAGCAGGGGAUCUUCGGACCUUGCGCGAUUGAAUGAGCCGAUGUCGGAUUAGCUAGUUGGCGGGGUAAAGGCCCACCAAGGCGACGAUCCGUAGCUGGUCUGAGAGGAUGAUCAGCCACACUGGAACUGAGACACGGUCCAGACUCCGACGGGAGGCAGCAGUGGGGAAUAUUGGACAAUGGGCGCAAGCCUGAUCCAGCCAUACCGCGUGGGUGAAGAAGGCCUUCGGGUUGUAAAGCCCUUUUGUUGGGAAAGAAAAGCAGCAGGUUAAUACCCCGCUGUUCUGACGGUACCCAAAGAAUAAGCACCGGCUAUCUUCGU
Molecule: ribosomal RNA, 491 nt
Filed under: uncultured bacterium
Lineage: Bacteria
Description: partial 16S ribosomal RNA
Rfam family: Bacterial small subunit ribosomal RNA
Source: RNAcentral